Long non-coding RNA from Cyprinodon tularosa, 1642 nucleotides. RefSeq lists it as uncharacterized. NCBI's taxonomy places the organism in Eukaryota, Metazoa, Chordata, Actinopteri, Cyprinodontiformes, Cyprinodontidae. The transcript has 3 exons. The record is from RefSeq and is a predicted model, not a curated record.
CAGAACAAAGUUCACACUGACAACAGUGGCAGAGUAGAAAACAGUAACAGAUACGUUGAAAAAGGAAAUCAGAGCAACAAUGUGCUUUUCUCUUUUUAAAAACAUUUCCUCUCACCUUCUAAAAGCAGUCAGACUUUAAAAUUUCACUCAGGGAUAAUUAUUUACAUCUGGAAGGAGAACUUAAACAUCUACAUAUUGAUGGAUCCUGAAAACUAACAAGCAUGGAGGUGCUGAGUGGCCCCUGGGCUGAUCUGGCCCUUUUCCUGCGACAGACUGUCACAAACACAGACACAGACAGCUUUCUUCCUCUCUGGCUCUUUGGAUUGUUUCUAUUCCUGUCAGUCUGCCUACUGCUGCUGCAGCUAAUUAUCUUCUUCAGCUGGAAACUCAGACAAGCUGAGGCGGAUCUGUCCCAGUUUGAGCCGAACCAAAGUGCCAUCCACAGGCAGAGGCACAGAAAUGCCAGCCUGACCAAGAGAAGUUCUGGAUUACUUCCUGAUACCUGACAGGGAUUAAUUAAACUGAUGGACAAAUCUCUAACAUACAGCUGGGUGGACGGAUCUGGAAAUAUUAAGGGACACUCUGAUCUCCUGGCACCUAAAAAAAAAUUAAAUGAGAAGCUUUUGUUUUUAGAAAUACCAGGCAACCUCUAAUAAUAAUAAUUUAAAAAAUGAGCAGUAUACGUUGCACGGGGUUCCAUGUUCUCAUCUUUCAUACAUCAGCUUCCUUCAUUUGCAUCUGAUUAUUAAUAAAAUAAAUGCAUGGAAAACAAACACACGUUUGUAGAGUAUAACAAUCGUUUAUUUGAACAGUGUUACACAGGGGCAAGAAGUGACUGCAUGUGGAAACAACACGAUUAUGCAGCUAGACAAAAUGACCUACCAGUGAUGUAAACAGGAAGCAAGAGGUGGCUGGUUCAUUUCUCCAAAAUGGGCUUCUUUAGAAAAGUGUUUUAGAUAUUUGCUUGUUUUUUUCCUUCUGGCGAGGCAGAUAUAAAAUUGUGCUAUCAUUGUAAAUAAAGCCUGAGAUUUAAGCGUGAAGAAUACAGAGUUUUAAAUAUACUGUUAAAAUCCAUUAAAAUGUCUUUUUUAAAAUCAAAAUGAAAAGUAGAAUGAAUAUUUUAUUAAAGCUGCAAACAUUUUGGAAAAGUUAACCUGACAGCCCCAAAGCUCCUGUGAUUGGUUGAAAGAGCCCAGAACCCCAAACAGGAAAGAGGUGGUAAAAAAACAAAACAGACAUUGAUCUUUAGUGGGUUUUCUUCAUCGUCAACGACAUACACAGUGGCAAUAAUACAAAUAAUCAGGAAGGUGGAGCAACAGAUCCCACCGUCCCAGUUGAAAAAACUGUGAAAGACUCUACAAAUACAGCUGAUGCGGCAAUAUGGAUUCAUUUAAUGAGAUUAAAUUAACAGCUUCCGAAGCUGCCAGAAGAUUUUUAUUCUUUUUUUUAUAUUUUUUUGUUUGUUUUACAAGAGGAAUAGAAGUUAAAACUCCUCCCCCACAUGGAAUGUCUUUUAGCUGCAUAGUAGAAGUAGGACCUGUGUUUAGAAAGCCUUGUCUUCACUAGACCGGCUUUACUUUCCAGACUGGAUCAUUAUGGAAAACCUGUGCUAUUUCAAAUUAAAAUAAUUUCAAUAAAGUUA